This 23-nucleotide small nuclear RNA is filed under the name Arabidopsis thaliana (thale cress). Its description in RNAcentral is "snRNA_12886". Lineage: Eukaryota; Viridiplantae; Streptophyta; Magnoliopsida; Brassicales; Brassicaceae. The record is from RNAcentral.
UUCUUCUACGGAAGAACAAUUAU